ACCCUGCGGCGGAUGUCAGCGGUUCGAGUCCGCUU
Molecule: transfer RNA, 35 nt
Filed under: Brickellia secundiflora
Lineage: Eukaryota; Viridiplantae; Streptophyta; Magnoliopsida; Asterales; Asteraceae
Description: partial tRNA-Ala
Source: RNAcentral